Molecule: ribosomal RNA, 498 nt
Filed under: uncultured bacterium
Lineage: Bacteria
Description: partial 16S ribosomal RNA
Rfam family: Bacterial small subunit ribosomal RNA
Source: RNAcentral
AUUGAACGCUGGCGGCAUGCUUUACACAUGCAAGUCGAACGGUAACAGGCCGCAAGGUGCUGACGAGUGGCGAACGGGUGAGUAAUGCAUCGGAACGUGCCCAGUCGUGGGGGAUAACUAUCCGAAAGGAUAGCUAAUACCGCAUACGACGUGCGGAUGAAAGCGGGGGACCUUCGGGCCUCGCGCGAUUGGAGCGGCCGAUGUCAGAUUAGGUAGUUGGUGGGGUAAAGGAUCACCAAGCCAACGAUCUGUAGCUGGUCUGGGAGGACGACCAGCCACACUGGGACUGAGACACGGCCCAGACUCCUACGGGAGGCAGCAGUGGGGAAUUUUGGACAAUGGGCGCAAGCCUGAUCCAGCAAUGCCGCGUGCAGGAAGAAGGCCUUCGGGUUGUAAACUGCUUUUGUACGGAACGAAACGGCUCUGGUUAAUACCUGGGGCUAAUGACGGUACCGUAUGAAUAAGCACCGGCUAACUACGUGCCAGCCGCCGCAGUAA